GAUGAACGCUGGCGGCGUGCCUAAUACAUGCAAGUCGAGCGAACAGACGAGGAGCUUGCUCCUCUGACGUUAGCGGCGGACGGGUGAGUAACACGUGGAUAACCUACCUAUAAGACUGGGAUAACUUCGGGAAACCGGAGCUAAUACCGGAUAAUAUAUUGAACCGCAUGGUUCAAUAGUGAAAGACGGUUUUGCUGUCACUUAUAGAUGGAUCCGCGCCGCAUUAGCUAGUUGGUAAGGUAACGGCUUACCAAGGCAACGAUGCGUAGCCGACCUGAGAGGGUGAUCGGCCACACUGGAACUGGGACACGGUCCAGACUCCUACGGGAGGCAGCAGUAGGGAAUCUUCCGCAAUGGGCGAAAGCUUGACGGAGCACCGCCGCGUGAGUGAUGAAGGUCUUCGGAUCGUAAAACUCUGUUAUUAGGGAAGAACAAAUGUGUAAGUAACUAUGCACGUCUUGACGGUACCUAAUCAGAAAGCCACGGCUAACUACGUG
RNAcentral lists this ribosomal RNA (497 nucleotides) under uncultured bacterium. RNAcentral's name for it is "partial 16S ribosomal RNA". It matches the Rfam family "Bacterial small subunit ribosomal RNA", at positions 28 to 507 of the family's 1533-position model. The record is from RNAcentral.